RNAcentral lists this unclassified non-coding RNA (148 nucleotides) under soil metagenome. Its description in RNAcentral is "partial internal transcribed spacer 1". The record is from RNAcentral.
CCGAGUUUACAACUCCCAAACCCCUGUGAACAUACCUAUACGUUGCCUCGGCGGAUCAGCCCGCGCCCCGUAAAAAGGGACGGCCCGCCAGAGGACCCCUAAACUCUGUUUCUAUAUGUAACUUCUGAGUAAAACCAUAAAUAAAUCA